GUAAGGAAUAUUGCUCAAUGGGAGAAAUCCUGAAGCAGCAACGCCGCGUGGAGGAUGAAGGGUCUAUGACUUGUAAACUCCUGUAAAGAAGGAAAAAAUUCCCAUUUGAUGGGAGAUGAUCGUACUUCUGGAGUAAGCCCCGGCUAACUACGUGCCAGCAGCCGCGGUAAUACGUAGGGGGCAAGCGUUGUCCGGAUUUACUGGGUGUAAAGGGUGCUCAGGCGGAUUUGUAAGUCAGAGGUGAAAUCUUACAGCUUAACUGUGAAACUGCCUUUGAUACUGCAAGCCUAGAGUAUGGAAGAGAGUGAUGGAAUAUCUGGUGUAGCAGUGAAAUGCGUAGAUAUCAGAUAGAACACCAAUGGCGAAGGCAGUCACUUGGUCCAUUACUGACGCUAAAGCACGAAAGCGUGGGUAGCAAACA
RNAcentral lists this ribosomal RNA (421 nucleotides) under uncultured bacterium. RNAcentral's name for it is "bacterial SSU rRNA". It matches the Rfam family "Bacterial small subunit ribosomal RNA", at positions 354 to 774 of the family's 1533-position model. The record is from RNAcentral.